GUGGGGAAUCUUCCGCAAUGGACGAAAGUCUGACGGAGCAACGCCGCGUGAGUGAUGAAGGUCUUCGGAUUGUAAAGCUCUGUUAAUCGGGACGAAAGAGCCUAGUGUGAAUAAUGCUAGGAAGUGACGGUACCGGAAUAGAAAGCCACGGCUAACUACGUGCCAGCAGCCGCGGUAAUACGUAGGUGGCAAGCGUUGUCCGGAAUUAUUGGGCGUAAAGCGCGCGCAGGCGGAUCCGCCAGACUGUCUUAAAAGUUCGGGGCUUAACCCCGUGAUGGGAUGGAAACUACAGAUCUAGAGUAUCGGAGAGGAAAGUGGAAUUCCUAGUGUAGCGGUGAAAUGCGUAGAUAUUAGGAAGAACACCAGUGGCGAAGGCGACUUUCUGGACGAAAACUGACGCUGAGGCGCGAAAGCCAGGGGAGCGAACGGGAUUAGAUACCCUUGUAGUCC
This 450-nucleotide ribosomal RNA is filed under the name uncultured bacterium. RNAcentral describes it as "partial 16S ribosomal RNA". It matches the Rfam family "Bacterial small subunit ribosomal RNA", at positions 354 to 796 of the family's 1533-position model. The record is from RNAcentral.